Molecule: ribosomal RNA, 433 nt
Filed under: uncultured bacterium
Lineage: Bacteria
Description: partial 16S ribosomal RNA
Rfam family: Bacterial small subunit ribosomal RNA
Source: RNAcentral
AACGAACGCUGGCGGCAUGCCUAACACAUGCAAGUCGAACGAGACCUUCGGGUCUAGUGGCGCACGGGUGCGUAACGCGUGGGAACCUGCCCUUAGGUUCGGAAUAACUCCCCGAAAGGGGUGCUAAUACCGGAUAAUGUCUUCGGACCAAAGAUUUAUCGCCUUUGGAUGGGCCCGCGUUGGAUUAGCUAGUUGGUUGGGUAAAAGCCUACCAAGGCGACGAUCCAUAGCUGGUCUGAGAGGAUGAUCAGCCACACUGGGACUGAGACACGGCCCAGACUCCUACGAGAGGCAGCAGUGGGGAAUAUUGGACAAUGGGCGAAAGCCUGAUCCAGCAAUGCCGCGUGAGUGAUGAAGGCCUUAGGGUUGUAAAGCUCUUUUACCCGGGAUGAUAAUGACAGUACCGGGAGAAUAAGCUCCGGCUAACUCCGUG